CCUGUUCUGUUGCACGCGCUCAGCGCGGGGGCUGCGGCGCUCCCACCCCUUGCAGAGCCCCGGGGCUGGCUCAGAGGCGGGGACCGAGGCACCGAGCCGGGAGACGCAGAGCCCCAGUCUCUGCCCGCGGCACGUGGAAUUGUUAGGGCCUCCAGCCCCUGUUUGCUCCCCCGGCAGCACCGCACUGGGGCGAGGCUGGGAGCCCGCACGCCGGCCGGGCGGAGUGCAGGGGGACAGACACGGGACGCUGCAGCCGCUGCUCUGCUCCUGCGCUACCGGCAGCUAACGCUGCAGGACAAAGCCGCGGCGCGCCGGUGUCACCCCGGAACCCGCGACUCCGGCCCUUGGCACGUGUGUGUGUGUGGCCCGGGGGGAGGCCCCAGCGCUGUUCUGCAGGGCGUGGGGCCCCUGACUUGCCCGCUGGGGCCCCGGCCCCGCUCCCUGCUCGCGGAGGCAGGGCUGGCGGUGCCGCGCCCAUCCCGUCCCCGGGCUCCCGUCCCCGGGCUCCCCCCCCCCCCGCGGGGAGCCGUGCCAGGAGCGGGGCUGGGCUGCGGGCAGGAGGGCAAAGCCGUGGGGGAGGCACGCCGAGCUCCCCGCGCCUUGGCUUUGCCGGCCGAGAGCAGGGACUGCCCUGCCCGGGGAGCGGAGAACACGCCGCCCCGGCUGGGCUUGGCACCUCUACCAGCGUGCGUCGGUCUAACUCUCCUGUUUGUUGGCCAGGGUGGGGCAUAUGCCCCAUCGUCCCAGUACUGAACCUGUCUGGUUUUUUAAUCACAGCUCACCCCACCCCCUCAGUGAAGAAAACUUGUAGAGCAAGUAGCAAGUCCUCCUGUGGAGUAAUGCUGUUCAUUAGUGAGCUGCAUCCUUGCAGGAAGCUGGCCACCUGGAAACUCUCUUCAGGCUUCUUGGAAAAGGGUCCUUGGCUGACAUAUAGACAGGAAAAAGGCUAUCUCCGUUGUGAACCAGAAGGGUCUCUGUGUCUCCUGCCUUAUUUUUUAUUUUCUAGACAUGGAAGCCAAAUGUGUAAGAACCUACUAUUCCCCGGUCUGAGAUCAUCCAGGAUCUUUUCCAUUACAAGCACAGGACGAUAUCCAUAUUCUGCUGAACCAUAAGCUAUUAUUGGAGGGCUUCCCCCUCUUCUUCCAAAUUCUGCCAGAGCACAGCUGCCUGCUAUCUAAAGCUUUGAGAUCAGUUUUGCAUUAUGCACUGGAGAGCUCUUUGUACUCAAGAAGCCCCAAAGGCAUGACCAAUGGAUCUGCUGGUAAUUUCACUUUUGUUAUAGUCAUGAUGACAUUUUAAAUCCUUGACCAAGCUUUGAGACAUUCCUACCAGCUACAGAAAAAGGAAUGGUUUCCCCCCCCCCCCCCCCCCGUCCAAACCAGGGUCUCUUCAGACCAGAACUCCUAGUGUUGCCCUUGUGAAUGAGAAUGGUGUCUGAUGAGGUAGAGAUUCAGCUGGCUGCAAGAACUGGAGUGAAGAGGAUUGCAUUGCAAUGACCCAUACUCUUACAUUGUUUGUUCGCUUGUUUAAAUUUAAAAAUGUAUAUGGGCAUGAAUCCAACCACCCCACCCAACUUUGAGUGAGUUCAGAUCCAGAUUCAAAUUUCAAGUGAGUAGUGAGCUCUAUAAUGAGCUGUCAUGAGUUCUGCAUCACGUGUGUCCGGGGUACGUGGGAAAAACUGACAAGGUCUCAUGACUGGGCAUAUUUCUGAAUGUCUGAACCAUCUGCGAACCCUAGCUGCAAUGCUGAGAUAUUUUAUCACCCCUGUGCAGUCGGUCGGUUUUCACUAACAUUUCCCAAGGGCAGCCAAACCCCAUAUAUUCGCCCUGAAACACAGAACCCAGUUUUCUGUACAAGUAUGGUCAGGGAGAUGCAUUACCUGCCUCGUCUUCAGCAAAGGAGAUGAUGAAUUUGUUAUAGGAGCUAAUCAGACCCGGGAAAGCACAGGCUUUAGUGCUACCAAUACAAAUAUCUUGUUUCUUCCAUUUAUUUUCCCUCUCCUCUUCCUGCAAAGCCAUAAGGCGACUGGAUGAAAAAUAAAACCUUUGUUGUAGGAUUCAAAUUUUCCAUUCUCAGGGUUAAUUCCUGCAAAAAUCAUGCAUCGCUGGAAAUAAAAGGAACUUCACCUUGAGGAGGCAGACGCAUUCUUCCAUCGACUUAGCUGUGUGCAAGAUUGGAUCCUGACAUUGCAAGCUUCUCAGAGUCUGUUUUGUAUCGUGUGCAGCACUCAUCACGUGUCAACAUUUAACAAUCAUUACUAAUUAUUAAUAUGUCCUUGAUUUGGUGGAAUGAUGAUCUGUCCUUACUACUUAUUGGAUCAAAGAGCUAGGGCUGACUUCACUUGAGGGGAAAAAAGCAUUAUGCAGAAGAACCUUGCUGACUGUGCUAAUCCAAUAAACAAUUGAAUCUCAGGAAGUAGCCUAGCCUGUUCCCAGUGUGUUGACAUUAACAGCAAUAGAAGCAGAAGCAGGUCAUUAAAAACUAGCAGUCACUAAUCACUUUUCAUCAAAGAGUUAAUAGAUAAGUCAUUAUUUUAGGAUCUCAAGUUACUAAGACAAUUAUUUAUAAAAAUAUACACCAAUAUUUUUAUAAUAUGCUAUGAAAUAUGAUUACAAUGAAUUCACACUAAGCUACACAUAUCAGGACUUAUGAUCAAAGUAUAAAGAUGCAACAGUCUUAAUUGUUAUUAUUAUCGUGUGUUUAUUUUCUAACCGUCACAUACAGAAAAUCCUCCACAGGCCACUCAGUCAUCAAACAUUAGUGUGAAUUAUCUCUGCCAUGGCCACAUUAAAUUUUUUCUUAGUUUAUUGGUUGUAAGUGACUGAUGAAAUGUUGACGUUGUUUUUCUGAAAGCUGGUUUCUCCAAGGUGACUCCAGACUCUUACCAAUGAGACUAUAAAAGUGGAAGUAUUUAGUAAACAUGGAUAAUAUUUGAAAGCUAAGAAGGAUUAGCUGGAAGAAUUUUAUACCUUUGUGAUAAGCAAAAAUAUGUUUUUUGGCUGCUUUGUGUUGGCAUACAGUAAAUCAUGACCAGCACGAUUAGCAUACCUGUUAAAAAGUCAAGUCCUUUCUGCCCACAAAUCAUUGUGCACGCAGGAACCCAAGAGCAGCUUUUACUACUGAACUGCCUGCUUCCAUGAGCCAGAUGGGCAGUGGGAAGAAAAGUAUAGGGGAAAUGCAACAGCUGAAGCUUCCGGAUCUUUCAGCUGCAUGAAUCUUCUAGCUGUUUCUUAAUGUUGUUCUACUUUAAUAACCACAGCGUUUGCAGUGUACUAGGCAGGAGCACAAUCUAAACACAUCCGUCAUGAGACCUGGGAAUGCAAACACUGUGCUUCAUGUCCUGUAUAAUCUGCCAUCCAAGUCACCCUGUAUUUAUGAGCAGAAUGAAAAAUAAAUAUUGAUCUUUUUAAUCCUCCUUUAGUUACAAAGGGGCUAGUAUUGUCCCCCUCCCAACAGCGGGAUACACUCCUCCUUCAUUUCAUCAGCACUUACAGCUAUCAAAAAAUAGUAAUUCAUUAUUAACUAUUGUUCCUGAUGUUGUCACAUGCAGUUAUAGAACAUCUAUCCCUGUGGUACCUGACCACAUUUUGAUCCCAAUGCAAACUAUGCAAUAACCAUUAUCUAGUAACAUUACCCCCACUGUCCCCUCUCCCCCAAAUCCACACAUCCCCACAGCAUCACAAAUGUAAAAGGGAUGACGAGGAGAAAUCACCUUCUAAUGAAAACCUAUAGCACAUGAGCGUGCACACAAACAACUGCACAAACAUACUGUAAACUUCAGGUUGAAACCCUCUGCCCUACCUGACACAGGAUAUCCUUUAUAUACCCUCCACACAGCUGGUGGCCCUGGGGAUCAAUGUAAUCCAUGAUCUCCCAGUAUUUAGCUGCAAUGCUGUUGUCCUUAUCCUGGUCACAGCAGCCAAAGGUCUCAUAGGCAGAGCAGAACUCCAGGUGGAAAGGGGGCUGGAAAGGGGGUCCGUAGUCCAGGCACUGGGGGUGCCCCCAGAGCAUGCCUGCUUGGCACAGCAAGGAGACAGAGAGGCAAAAGAAAAAGUUGGGGGACAAGUUGGUAACUCCAAACCUGCUGCUGUGUGGCCAAACAUUAACCUUCUCCACUGGAGGUUUCUUGAGGUUAGAUGUAUAGGAAUCCUGGCCAUCUUUAAGAUAAGGCCCAUUCAUCCUUUGAGCUUUACAAAUUGCCAGCUGCAGAACUCAGUGUUUACUCAGGUUUUUGCUUGCUCACUCGCCCUCUCCCAAGCUCUCUCACUCUCUCCCCCUCUGAAGUUUACUAUUUGUGGGCUGAGGAGAAACCCUGCAGGCUGUUUCUUUGGUAUUUCACACGGCACAUUGCAAGAAUCUUCCCCCUCCCCUCUGCACAUUUCUCAUGCCCCCAAGAGCACUCACAGAUCUAGUCCCUACAACUUAGUUUAAACAGGUUCCAAAAUCAUUCAUUGAAUAUGUAUAACAGGUAAACAGUACUAUCCAUGAUCCAAAUAUAUCCAACCUGAUCUGCUCUCCCUAUUUAGAAUGCAAAGCAUGCUGCAGCUGUGAAAAUAUUAGGGAAGGAAAAUGAAUGAAUCACGUUCAGUCAGUACCUACACUCUAUUUAAUUUUCAAGAUCUGGGUCAAACCUGGAUCAGAUUCUACAGGGAUGGAAGCAGGGGGUCUUCCACCCUGUUUAAGAUUCACUUAAUAAUCCCAUCUUAAAUUAAUAUUGAGUGUAUGUGAGGAUAAAAAUCUUUACAGGGAUGCUACUGCCAAGUGAGGCAUUCUACAAAUUCAGAGUUAGAGUUAAACUUAAAAGAAAUCCAAACAUGUGAAGGUAGGAAAUACAAAUUAAGGCACACAAACAACUUUAACUCUACCCUGUAAUGAUGCCAUGCAACAACCACACUUUUAGGACUGUGUGAGCUCAGAUUAGUUUAAAUUGUUUUUUAAAGACCCAUUAGAUUUUUGCAUUUUUCCCUCCCAGUGUCCACUGCUAGUGUCCACUGUGGCCUUUUGAGACUAUACUUCUUAAAAAAACUAGUUCUCAUAGCCACCGAGGAUGUGCUAGGUUCUGUGUGCUGUGCUCACUGCUGAUGACUUAAGUCAUUUGUCCCAGACUCCAGUGCAUGAGCAAACAUGGCAAACAGAUUGAGGCUACCUCAGCCACACUCCAGCUUUGUCAUAGCUUCUCCUGCAAAGUUUUCCUUGCUCAUUUGCUGCCAAUCAGAAAUUGGCACAGUAAUAUUCAUGCAGCAUAUCUGGUUUGUAACACUAACAAAUCCAUGCCCUCUCAGAACUCAAUUGCCACUAUGCUAGAUGCCACAGCCCACUCAGAACAUCAGACCAACACCAUGCAAAUGUGCUGUUUCCAACUACAGGCCCCUAUCACUUGAGGUAAAAGAGAAUCUCUCUUAACCUAUUAGCAGUGUAGGGCCAAUGACACAGGGCUGAGCAGUUCUGAUUCCACCCCAGACAGCAGUGUUUACAUGUAUGUCCACACCCACCCACCAGUUCAUUACAAUGCAAAGCUGGCUGAAAAAAAAUAAACAUUUGUGGAAAUGUUUAAAGUUGUUUCCAUAACCUAUCACAUAACUUGGGGAAGUGUUAGUAGAGAGCAGGAGAGUUCCCAUAUCUCAGCCGGGGACAGUUUUUUUAGAGAUGGCGCCAGCUGAAAUGACACCUCCCUUCCAAAGAGUCCAUUGAAGUUGGUAAAGUGCUUUGAGCUUCUUGGGUAGAAGAUGCUGAUGGAGGACAGAGUAUUAUCAACAAACCAGGUCGAAAUUUUUGUCAUCAGAAAUUUUUUUUUAUGAAAAAUGGCUUUUCAAAUGCUAAUGUUUUGUAGAUUUUCAUAUAAUUUAAGAUGCUUUGAUUUUUCUUCAAAACUAAAAAUUUAAUUUCAAAUUGAAAUGAAAAAUUGAACUGAUUAUUUGGGUAAACCCUCAAACAUCUAUAUCCCGGAACAAAUGUUUGUGGAGCAUCCAGGUUAGCUUUUACAAAGGGGUUAACUCCCUCAAGUCCAUUGGCAACCAACCAACUCAAGUGAAAAUCUCUUGUAGUUGUACUUCAUGGCCCCAGUUGUUCUUCUACAUAGAAAAACUCGUGCAGGGGACAGGAAACUCCACAAAGUUCCCUUGAGAAGUGUGUUUCCAACAGAUCAUCUUUGGGAGGCAAUUUAUGCCCUGCAGAAUAGGUGGGAGUUCAGACCCCCACAGAUCUCGGGGAAUCCACCUCAGCUUCCUGUGUUAAGGUCUUUGGUUCUGUGCUGCCCUGACCCACGGAAGCUCUCCCACAAUUUGCUGUGACUCGCCCUGAGCCUCCACUGACCUCUGCCUCUGUGUGAAGGAAAAGUUCUUGGUCUCUGCCCUUGGGAUAUCUUCAACUUCCUCCCUUCAGAAAACCCCAUUUACUAUCUGCUUCCACAAUCUAUUUUCAUGUGUCUCACCCUGAAAAUAUUGAAACUCUGGCCGUACAGCCAAAGUUCAUUGUCUGCACAGUACCUCUGCAAAGUGACAAAUGUAAGCACCAGAUGAAACAAUGCACAGCUGCACUGUGAUGGUCACUGAUACCAUAUCCGUACUAGGAAACUAUUCAGCCCAGAGAUGUUAAAUAGUGACAAACUUUUGUUGCUACCACAGGUUGGAGAGCUUUGACUGCAUCAGCCAGCUGCUCAGUACCCACAAUCUACCAGCUUUGGUUAGGCUGCCAACAAACUGCAAGUACAGCACAACCAGAAGAUUCAAUGCUGGCAUGGACUAAAGCAGGGGUUCUCAAACUGGGGGUCGGGACCCCUCAGGGGGUCACGAGGUUAUUACGGGGGGGGGGGGGGGGUCCGCAAGCUGUCAGCCUCCACCCCAAAGCCCGCUUUUCCUCCAGCAUUUAUAAUGGUGUUAAAUAUAUAAAAAUGUGUUUUUAAUUUAUAAAAUGCCUCAGUGGCUUGCUAUGUGAAAGGGGUCACCAGUACAAAAGUUUGAGAACCACUGGACUAAAGCACCUUCAACAGAUUUAAAUACUCAAGGCUCAGUUUUCAGCCAGGCCUCACCCUGACCUGCCCUUCCCUAACAUACCUAUUAUCUUUGUGUAGCACCAGUCACUGCAACAUCACGAUGUUGCUUUUGCAUCUACAAAUAAUUUCAUCCUCAUUUUUGCAUCCACAGUGAACUGCAGGCACAAAUAUUAAUGGACACCUAAUUAUUCAAUUUGCAGGUGCCAACACAGGCGGUCUCUGAAAAUCAGGCCCUACAAGAGGUUUUCGGUGGCUUUUGUUCUUUUAGUGCUACUGGGUUCUUCCAUGUGUGAUAUACUUCCUCCUCACGCACUCUCCUCUUUCUAAGUGGCAAGAGCAUUUCAAUUCAAGCCCAUCUCUGCCGUUAUGCAAGAAGUGCUGCAUCCAGCCUCAAAAAUUCAAAUGCUACAGAGUCAGCUGUGUAGAAAAUUGCAACUACUGAGUUACUUGAUAUCUCUACUUGUAGACAAGAACAUUCCCUGUCUCUCCUUUGAGUAGGGAAAAGCUAGUGUGGCUUUACGCAAGUUUGGGCUGAGAGAAUGAGAAUGUUGGGUGCUCAGAGACUGCACAAUACACCACAGAGAACACUAUUAAGCAAAUCCUCACCCCCAUGGCCCAGCCACCAAAGACUUUUUAAACUAGGCUUUUUUUCUUAACCAAAAAAAAGGCGAACGUUGUCUGAAGGCAACAAAACAGGACCAAAAGCAAAUGCACCAACUGUUUAUAUUAUGAAAAUGAGACUCUGGUAAUGAAAAGCAUUAAAAGGAAAACCGCAACUGUGGAAUCAGAUCUUAGCUGGGAUCUCUUCAGAUUUAUUGAAUAUCUUUCUUUGUUUAGUGCUCACAAUGUGCUGAGGGCUGCACCAGAUGUCAAAAAUAAAGACAGGCUCUGCCUUAGACCGUUUACAAUGUGACAGACGGACACUAAUAAGAUGGCUACACUGAGGCCCCGUCGACACUGGCAAGUUUGUACGCAGUAAAGCGGCUUUGAGCGCUGUAACUCCCAAGGUGUACACGCUGCCAAGCCACUUAGUGCGCAGAAACUGCCCAGCUGUAGCGCUCUAAAAAACCACCCCGACGAGAGGCGUACAGCUUUCUGCCCCGGGGCUACAGCGCUGCGGUACCAGCGUAGACACCAUGGCGAUUACAGCCCUGCGAUUGGCCUCCGGGAGGUGUCCCACAAUGCCUGUUCUCACCUCUCUGGUCAUCAGUUUGAACUCUACUGCCCUGCCCUUAGGUGACCAACCGUCAUCUCCACCCCGUAGAAACCUUUGCAAAUUUGAAAGUCCCCUUCCCGUUUGCUUGGUGAUGCGUGCAGUGGUCUCAGCGCAUCUUUCCAGGUGGCCAGGCCUGCUCCACGCACCAGGCGAUCCCCCACUUGGAGCAGUGCCGAGCUGCUGAACCUCAACGGCAUCUGGGGAGAGGAAGCUGUGCAAUCCCAGCUGCGCUCCAGCCACUGGAAUUAUGAUACCUAUGGACAGAAUUCACGACGCAUGACAGAAAGGGGCCAUGACCAGGACACACUGCAGUGCAGGGUCAAAGUGAAGGAGCUGUGGAACACCUACCACAAGGCGUGGGAGACAAACCGCCACUCCGGUGCUGCGCCCACGAGCUGCCGGUUCUACAAAGAGUGGAUGCGAUACUCGGUGGCAACCCCACCUCCACUGCGAAGGCCCCUGUGGAUACUUCAUUGGUUCACAUGCCAGUCGAGAGUGGACCAAGCCAGGAGGAGGAAAUCUUGGACAAAGAGGGGGAUGGGGACCGAGAGGCAGAGGAUGUCUCGGAGGCCAGAGAUGCUUGCACUCAGGAGCUCUUUUCUACCCAGGAGAAGCCUAGCCAGUCACAGCAGUUGGAUCUUAGCAAGAGCAAACAGGAGAGGAGGCCUCUGAGAUGACCUUGGGAGGCCUGCCUCCCUUAUCAGUGGCACAAUGGCUGAGCAGAAUUAGAAAGCGUCCAAGAAGAACUAAGGAGGACUUUCUGUGUGAGGUAAUGAGAAACUGGAAUUGAAGGAGUGGCAGGACAGCAAAAAGAGGGACUGAAAGGAAGAUGCAGCACGCCAGAAUAAAGCCACGGAGUGGCUCUUAAAUGUUAUGGAGCACCAAGUGGACAUACUCUUCAAACCGAGCAGCUCCACACCCACCCUCCCCAGCAGCCGCUGUCACAAAAUUCUUGCCCAUGUGCCCCCACCAACCCAGCCAACACACUCUUCUUAACCUCCUGGCUCCAGGCUCUACCCACAGCAUUCCAGUCUUCCCUCCUCACAGUCCAGCACUGUGGACUCCCACUACCCACUGCACUCGACACCUGUCUGCAGUUUGGACCUGCUGAAGUACAGCACCUGCUACAUUGUACUCCAAAGGAGAAGGUUGGGUAUGAUCCCUGGACAUACACAAGUCUUUAGCUGUUCUGGGACCCCUCCUCCUCCUCUGGAGACCUUCCCUUCCCCA
Long non-coding RNA from Chelonia mydas (Green sea turtle), 9437 nucleotides. RefSeq lists it as uncharacterized. The transcript is spliced from 6 exons. NCBI's taxonomy places the organism in Eukaryota, Metazoa, Chordata, Testudines, Cheloniidae. The record is from RefSeq and is a predicted model, not a curated record.